ACGGAGGGUGCAAGCGUUAAUCGGAAUUACUGGGCGUAAAGCGUGCGUAGGCGGUGUCGUAAGUCGGAUGUGAAAGCCCUCGGCUCAACCGGGGAACUGCAUUCGAUACUGCAAUGCUUGAGUGCCGGAGAGGGUGGCGGAAUUCCAGGUGUAGCAGUGAAAUGCGUAGAUAUCAGGCGGAACACCAGUGGCGAAGGCGGCCUCCUGGCCGGCAACUGACGCUGAGGCACGAAAGCGUGGGGAUCAAACAG
This 251-nucleotide ribosomal RNA is filed under the name uncultured prokaryote. RNAcentral's name for it is "partial 16S rRNA". It matches the Rfam family "Bacterial small subunit ribosomal RNA", at positions 525 to 775 of the family's 1533-position model. The record is from RNAcentral.